This 1437-nucleotide ribosomal RNA is filed under the name uncultured organism. RNAcentral's name for it is "16S ribosomal RNA". It matches the Rfam family "Bacterial small subunit ribosomal RNA". The record is from RNAcentral.
CAGGCUUAACACAUGCAAGUCGAGGGGCAUCAGGAAGAAAGCUUGCUUUCUUUGCUGGCGACCGGCGCACGGGUGAGUAACACGUAUCCAACCUGCCCUUUACUCGGGGAUAGCCUUUCGAAAGAAAGAUUAAUACCCGAUAGUAUAAUGAUUCCGCAUGGUUUCAUUAUUAAAGGAUUCCGGUAAAGGAUGGGGAUGCGUUCCAUUAGGUUGUUGGUGAGGUAACGGCCCACCAAGCCUUCGAUGGAUAGGGGUUCUGAGAGGAAGGUCCCCCACAUUGGAACUGAGACACGGUCCAAACUCCUACGGGAGGCAGCAGUGGGGAAUAUUGGUCAAUGGGCGCUAGCCUGAACCAGCCAAGUAGCGUGAAGGAUGAAGGCUCUAUGGGUCGUAAACUUCUUUUAUAUAAGAAUAAAGUGCAGUAUGUAUACUGUUUUGUAUGUAUUAUAUGAAUAAGGAUCGGCUAACUCCGUGCCAGCAGCCGCGGUAAUACGGAGGAUCCGAGCGUUAUCCGGAUUUAUUGGGUUUAAAGGGAGCGUAGGUGGACUGGUAAGUCAGUUGUGAAAGUUUGCGGCUCAACCGUAAAAUUGCAGUUGAUACUGUCAGUCUUGAGUACAGUAGAGGUGGGCGGAAUUCGUGGUGUAGCGGUGAAAUGCUUAGAUAUCACGAAGAACUCCGAUUGCGAAGGCAGCUCACUGGACUGCAACUGACACUGAUGCUCGAAAGUGUGGGUAUCAAACAGGAUUAGAUACCCUGGUAGUCCACACAGUAAACGAUGAAUACUCGCUGUUUGCGAUAUACAGUAAGCGGCCAAGCGAAAGCAUUAAGUAUUCCACCUGGGGAGUACGCCGGCAACGGUGAAACUCAAAGGAAUUGACGGGGGCCCGCACAAGCGGAGGAACAUGUGGUUUAAUUCGAUGAUACGCGAGGAACCUUACCCGGGCUUAAAUUGCAGUGGAAUGAUGUGGAAACAUGUCAGUGGGCAAUCACCGCUGUGAAGGUGCUGCAUGGUUGUCGUCAGCUCGUGCCGUGAGGUGUCGGCUUAAGUGCCAUAACGAGCGCAACCCUUAUCUUCAGUUACUAACAGGUCAUGCUGAGGACUCUGGAGAGACUGCCGUCGUAAGAUGUGAGGAAGGUGGGGAUGACGUCAAAUCAGCACGGCCCUUACGUCCGGGGCUACACACGUGUUACAAUGGGGGGUACAGAAGGCAGCUAGCGGGUGACCGUAUGCUAAUCCCAAAAGCCUCUCUCAGUUCGGAUCGAAGUCUGCAACCCGACUUCGUGAAGCUGGAUUCGCUAGUAAUCGCGCAUCAGCCACGGCGCGGUGAAUACGUUCCCGGGCCUUGUACACACCGCCCGUCAAGCCAUGGGAGCCGGGGGUACCUGAAGUACGUAACCGCAAGGAUCGUCCUAGGGUAAAACUGGUGACUGGGGCUA